GUGAGUUCAAAAACUGAAUUUAACCGAUGUUUACCUCAGACGACAGUUUUCGUUUCUGUGAUAAAUUCUGAGCUAAUUUUCUUGUUGUGUUUGAUCUUUUCCAUUGGCUGAAGAAUGCUGUGACAAAAAAGCAACCAGGACACCACAUCUGCAGUGACAGAGAGCAGGAUGGGGGAGGAAUCAGAAGGACCAGAAGAUAAUAUCAACUGGUG
This is a non-coding RNA of Paramisgurnus dabryanus, 212 nucleotides long. The record is from RefSeq and is a predicted model, not a curated record. Lineage: Eukaryota; Metazoa; Chordata; Actinopteri; Cypriniformes; Cobitidae.